GACGAACGCUGGCGGCGUGCUUAACACAUGCAAGUCGAACGGUGAAGCGCCAUCCUUUUUGGUGGGUGGGGAUGAGUGGCGAACGGGUGAGUAACACGAGAGUAACCUGCCUCCUCCUUCUGGAUAACCGCAUGAAAGUGUGGCUAAUACGGGAUAUGCUGGGUGUGUCGCAUGAUGGGUCUGGGAAAGAUAGUGUGUUGGUGGGGGAUGGUCUCGCGGCCUAUCUGCUGGGUGGUGGGGUGAUGGCCUACCAAGGCGGUGUGGAGUAGCCGGCCUGAGAGGAUGGACGGCCACAGUGGGACGGCGACACGGCGCAUACUCCUAGAGGAGGCAGCGGGGGAGAAUAGAGCACAGUGGGAGGAAGCCUGAUGCAGCGACGCGGCGGGAGAGAUGGAGGCCGGCGGGUUGUGAACCUCUUUCGCGAGUGAAGCACGCCUGCCUAGUAUGUCGGUGGGUUGACGGUAGCUGGAGAAGAAGCGCCGGCUAACUACGUG
This 494-nucleotide ribosomal RNA is filed under the name uncultured bacterium. RNAcentral describes it as "partial 16S ribosomal RNA". It matches the Rfam family "Bacterial small subunit ribosomal RNA", at positions 28 to 507 of the family's 1533-position model. The record is from RNAcentral.